Molecule: ribosomal RNA, 491 nt
Filed under: uncultured bacterium
Lineage: Bacteria
Description: partial 16S ribosomal RNA
Rfam family: Bacterial small subunit ribosomal RNA
Source: RNAcentral
AGUGAACGCUGGCGGUAGGCCUAACACAUGCAAGUCGAACGGCAGCACAGUAAGAGCUUGCUCUUACGGGUGGCGAGUGGCGGACGGGUGAGGAAUACAUCGGAAUCUACUUUUUCGUGGGGGAUAACGUAGGGAAACUUACGCUAAUACCGCAUACGACCUACGGGUGAAAGCAGGGGAUCUUCGGACCUUGCGCGAUUGAAUGAGCCGAUGUCGGAUUAGCUAGUUGGCGGGGUAAAGGCCCACCAAGGCGACGAUCCGUAGCUGGUCUGAGAGGAUGAUCAGCCACACUGGAACUGAGACACGGUCCAGACUCCUACGGGAGGCAGCAGUGGGGAAUAUUGGACAAUGGGCGCAAGCCUGAUCCAGCCAUACCGCGUGGGUAAAGAAGGCCUUCGGGUUGUAAAGCCCUUUUGUUGGGAAAGAAAAGCAGCAGGUUAAUACCCCGCUGUUCUGACGGUACCCAAAGAAUAAGCACCGGCUAACUUCGU